AAGUCGUAACAAGGUUUCCGUAGGUGAACCUGCGGAAGGAUCAUUAAAGAGUGAGGGUCCUCUGGGCCCAACCUCCCAUCCUAUGUUGUCAAAACACCAGUUGCCCCGGCGUCUUAAUCGACGCCAGAGGACAGUUCAAACACUUUCAUCAAACGUUUUGUCCGAGAAAAUUCUAAAUGAUCAAAA
RNAcentral lists this unclassified non-coding RNA (186 nucleotides) under plant metagenome. Its description in RNAcentral is "partial contains small subunit ribosomal RNA and internal transcribed spacer 1". The stretch from base 1 to 46 matches the Rfam family "Eukaryotic small subunit ribosomal RNA", at positions 1786 to 1831 of the family's 1831-position model. The record is from RNAcentral.